Molecule: non-coding RNA, 842 nt
Organism: Vicugna pacos (alpaca)
Lineage: Eukaryota; Metazoa; Chordata; Mammalia; Artiodactyla; Camelidae
Source: RefSeq, a predicted model, not a curated record
GCGGGGACCCGAGGCGGCGGGGAGCUCACCGCAAGGCUGGAGGCCGGAGGCGGCGGCCGCGGGCGCGCUAGGAGCCGAGACAGCGAGCGAGCGCUCUGCAGCGGGCGGUGGACGCGCUGAAGCAGGCACCAGCCCUGGAGAAGCUUCUGCCAGUGCUUGGAGACAUGCGCUUGGACCUUGGAGGGCGCCCGGCCGCUGAGGCGAAAACCUUGCGUUCGUUCAGCUCCCAAAGGGACCCCCACUCCACGGCAGCCCCGGCUGGAAACGAGGGACCCAGGCCCCAGCCAGAACGCCAGGACCCGACACCACAAGGCACCAGAGGCCCCUGAGCAACGAACCAAAAGUCAGAAGCCCGGAAGAGCGGCCUCGGUUGCUUUGGGCUUGGGCACGGCAGGAGAACACAGACCCACCCACCUCCACCGCCAAAGCUCUCCAAGACCCUGGAGCAAGCGCCCCUCUGGGGCAGCCGGCCUGUGCCUCCGCCCCAGUACUUGCUCCGUCAGCUGGCCAGCCGCCACCAGGGAACUUGCCCCAGAAGCAUCUCAGGAGGCCCUGGCUCCGGGGCCUUUCUAGUGCCCCCCACCCUCCGGCCCACACUCACACACAGGAAGCCUUGCCGGCCUUGAACGCGAUGGGAUUGUGACACCGGUGCUCCUAAGGCCCUCUGUAGGGCUCAGCUCUGUCCUCACCUUGACCCGGCCGUCUCCCCUGCUCCCCUCCCCGUUCGUCUGGCUUCCUCCACCAGGAGCUCCCCUCUGAGGACCUCAGCGCUGCUGCCCGGACUGCAGGGAGCCUGCUCUGCCCACACCUGAGCCCCCAGGAAGAGAGGCCCCAGGAGCAGA